This is a long non-coding RNA of Epinephelus lanceolatus (giant grouper), 417 nucleotides long. RefSeq lists it as uncharacterized. NCBI's taxonomy places the organism in Eukaryota, Metazoa, Chordata, Actinopteri, Perciformes, Serranidae. The record is from RefSeq and is a predicted model, not a curated record.
UAAAACGUUGCUUUUGCAUUAAUCAUAAUAAAAACUGAAUGACUGAGACCACCCAAGGGUGUUGACAGGCAGUUACCACACCCUCAUCUGAGAUGCAGAGAAACCAUUCACUGAACAUGAAACAGAGAGAGCACCAGGUCAGUGGUGUUCACAGAGAAGAGUCUGCGGUCCAUGACAGACCACAAGAAUACCGCUUUCCUGCCAAGAUGAUACAUGCAGACCUUGUCUUGGUACUCCAUAUAAUGCCUGCUGCAUAUGAGCUCCACAGGAUUGGACCUCUGUAGAGCAGUGUCAAAUGGCGGAUCAGCAGUUCCCCCAGAUCUGAUGUGUGUAGACUUGUGUUGAACUUGGUAGUGUUUUAAUUUUGGAAGUAUUAGUUUUGAGUGCUGUUGCUCUCUUCUUAAUAAAGUUUUUUUA